RNAcentral lists this ribosomal RNA (443 nucleotides) under uncultured Christensenellaceae bacterium. RNAcentral's name for it is "bacterial SSU rRNA". It matches the Rfam family "Bacterial small subunit ribosomal RNA", at positions 338 to 795 of the family's 1533-position model. Lineage: Bacteria; Bacillati; Bacillota; Clostridia; Christensenellales; Christensenellaceae. The record is from RNAcentral.
CCUACGGGAGGCUGCAGUGGGGAAUAUUGGGCAAUGGGCGAAAGCCUGACCCAGCAACGCCGCGUGAAGGAAGAAGGUUUUCGGAUUGUAAACUUCUGUCCUCAGGGAAGAAGAAAGUGACGGUACCUGAGGAGGAAGCCCCGGCUAACUACGUGCCAGCAGCCGCGGUAAUACGUAGGGGGCGAGCGUUGUCCGGAAUGACUGGGCGUAAAGGGCGCGUAGACGGCUGUCUAAGUCUGGAGUGAAAGUCCUGCUUUCAAGGUGGGAAUUGCUUUGGAGACUGGAUGGCUUGAGUGCGGAAGAGGUAAGUGGAAUUCCCAGUGUAGCGGUGAAAUGCGUAGAGAUUGGGAGGAACACCAGUGGCGAAGGCGACUUACUGGGCCGUAACUGACGUUGAUGCGCGAAAGCGUGGGGAGCGAACAGGCUUAGAUACCCCGGUAGUC